Cyprinus carpio carpio is the source of this 780-nucleotide long non-coding RNA. The record is from Ensembl. Lineage: Eukaryota; Metazoa; Chordata; Actinopteri; Cypriniformes; Cyprinidae.
GCCACUAUCAUUUCAGUUGUGGAUUUGUCCCAUGGACUUUUGUUAUGUGGGCAAUUCUCAGCAUCACCCUCUGCUGAUUUUCCCAGAUAUGUAAGAGUGACUGACAAAGCAGCCUGAUCCAGUCUCCUUUUACAAGUUUAGCAUAUUUACCAAGCUGUUUGAGAAGCUGAGCUAUUUUCAGCAAGGAUAAUGGAUGCUGCUAUGCUGUGCAGAGUUUUAAUGACUUUCCUGCACAUUAAAAUAAUCUGUCAUUUCAAUUAAAGCUCUGUCAGCUGCGUGAUGUCUCCCCGCACCUCCCAUACAGUGUCAGCACACUCCUUUUCUCCUCCGGUGGGAGUUCACUCAAAGCCCUCCCAAAAAACAAAGCGGAGUUUCAAGGGAAAUUGUUUGACAGCAGCUUAAGAGCGAGUCAGGAAUAACUUAUAAGGUCUAAUUAUACAAGUAUAUGUCAGGCAGCUGAUGAGUGUGUGUCAUUGCUGGCAGUGGAGCGGAUUUCCAUACAGCCUGUCAGAGUUAAAAAGAGAGCUGACAGCAGCACAUGACGGCGGCCUCUUCCUCGAUCCUGACCUUUCGAAGACCUCCCAUCAUGUUCAAACUCCCCACAGUCACCCGCUGCAGCCGAUCCCUGCGAUACACGCCAGCCCCAUGCGUUAGGCCAGCUGUGUUCCGCGCUCCACCUAAAUAUACAGAGUCAGCAGCCGCAUUCAUGGCUCAGUAUAAGCUAGUGGGCUGAGGCAUUUGUGUGCUUUCGCUGGCUCAGCCAUAACAUGUGGUUAACAA